Dromiciops gliroides (monito del monte) is the source of this 105-nucleotide small nuclear RNA. Lineage: Eukaryota; Metazoa; Chordata; Mammalia; Microbiotheria; Microbiotheriidae. The record is from RefSeq and is a predicted model, not a curated record.
GUACACUUUGGCAGAACAUAAACUAAAAUUGAAAUAAUACAGAGAAGAUAAGCAUGGCCCCUGUGCAAGGAUAACAUGCACAUUUGUGAAGCAAAGAAUAAAUCA